This 520-nucleotide ribosomal RNA is filed under the name uncultured Glomus. RNAcentral describes it as "partial 18S ribosomal RNA". The record is from RNAcentral. Lineage: Eukaryota; Fungi; Glomeromycota; Glomeromycetes; Glomerales; Glomeraceae.
CGUAAGGCGCCGAAUGAGUCAUUAAAAAAUUAACAUCAUCCGAUCCCUAGUCGGCAUAGUUUAUGGUUAAGACUACGACGGUAUCUGAUCGUCUUCGAUCCCCCUAACUUUCGUUCUUGAUUAAUGAAAACAUCCUUGGCAAAUGCUUUCGCAGUAGUUAGUCUUCAAUAAAUCCAAGAAUUUCACCUCUGACAAUUGAAUACUAAUGCCCCCAACUAUCCCUAUUAAUCAUUACGUCAAUCCCUAGAAACCAACAAAAUAGGAUCGAACGUCCUAUUUCAUUAUUCCAUGCUAAUGUAUUCAAGCGUUAGCUUGCUUUAAACACUCUAAUUUUUCAAGUAACAGUCCAAAUUCCCCGCAACACCAAAUUAAUGGCAUUACGGUUCAUCAGGAAGGAGGAAUCAGUGAGACCAGUACAUACCAGAGGCAUGACCAACCUACUAACCCCGAAAUUCAACUACGAGCUUUUUAACUGCAACAACUUUAAUAUACGCUAUUGGAGCUGGAAUUACCGCGGCUG